Oncorhynchus tshawytscha (Chinook salmon) is the source of this 589-nucleotide long non-coding RNA. NCBI's taxonomy places the organism in Eukaryota, Metazoa, Chordata, Actinopteri, Salmoniformes, Salmonidae. The record is from Ensembl.
AAAGUAAGGAUGAUGCUAAACUUCCUAUACCUCCAGAAAUGUUCUAGAUAAAGAUACAGCUAAAAUGUACAGAGAAAGUUGGGGAAAGGUAAAUGAUGCCCCUUUUUCCCAGGGUGACCUAGUGGAGUGACGGAACCUCCAGGGGAUACUGGCAUUGGGUUUCCUACACCUAAGGCCAGUUUAAGUCUGUUGUUAGGGGUGACUCUCUAGGGGUGAUCUCUCUAGUGAUAUCUCAGACUCUAAUCCUAAUUUAUCCUGUGUCCUAGGGUGAUAAAGGAAACCAGGGAAGACCUGGACCCACCAGUCCCAUGGGUGUGAGUGAACCAGGACUGCUGUAUGUCUACUAGAGUCUGAUUGGUCCUCCAGGGCUCCAGGGAACACAAGGGUUCCAAGGAGAGGAUCUACCAGGGCCUAAGGAUGACAUGGGUUCAAAGGUGACAAGGGAAACACAGGAGCCCCAGGGUUCCCAGGAUUGAUGGGUUUUCCUGACCGCGGCAGCUUUCCAAUCUUUGGGGUUUUCAGAUGACACGAAAGAGAGGUUGAACAGGGUGACCAGGGCUUCCCAGGGUAGCACGGACCACAGGGAGAG